GCAAGUCGAGGGGUAGCAGGGGAUUUGGGUUCAGCUGACGACCGGCGCACGGGUGAGUAACGCGUAUGAAAUCUGCCUUUUACCGGGGGAUAGCCCAGUGAAACCUGGAUUAAUACCCCAUAGAAUUUAUAGUUCGCAUGGACAAUAAAUUAAAACUCCGUUGGUAAAAGAUGAUCAUGCGUAGCAUUAGUUAGUUGGUAAGGUAACGGCUUACCAAGACGAUGAUGCUUAGGGGUUCUGAGAGGACAAUC
This 251-nucleotide ribosomal RNA is filed under the name uncultured bacterium. RNAcentral describes it as "partial 16S ribosomal RNA". It matches the Rfam family "Bacterial small subunit ribosomal RNA", at positions 57 to 305 of the family's 1533-position model. The record is from RNAcentral.